GACGAACGCUGGCGGCGUGCUUAACACAUGCAAGUCGAACGGACAGGCCCUGCUUUUGUGGGGUGCUCGAGUGGCGAACGGGUGAGUAACACGUGAGUAACCUGCCCUUGACUUUGGGAUAACUUCAGGAAACUGGGGCUAAUACCGGAUAGGAGCUCCUGCUGCAUGGUGGGGGUUGGAAAGUUUCGGCGGUUGGGGAUGGACUCGCGGCUUAUCAGCUGGUUUGUGAGGUAGUGGCUGACCAAGGCUUUGACGGAUAGCCGGCCUGAGAGGGUGACCGGCGACAUGGGGCCUGCGGUACGGCGCAGACUCCUACGGGAGGCAGCGGUGGGGAAUAUUGCAGAAUGGGGGGAAGCCUGAGGCAGCAACGCCGCGUGCGGGAUGACGGCCUUCGGGUGGUAAACCAAUUUCGCAUGUGACGAAGCGGGAGUGACGGUAAUGGGUAAAGAAGCACCGGCUAACUACGUG
RNAcentral lists this ribosomal RNA (468 nucleotides) under uncultured bacterium. Its description in RNAcentral is "partial 16S ribosomal RNA". It matches the Rfam family "Bacterial small subunit ribosomal RNA", at positions 28 to 507 of the family's 1533-position model. The record is from RNAcentral.